RNAcentral lists this ribosomal RNA (253 nucleotides) under uncultured bacterium. Its description in RNAcentral is "partial 16S ribosomal RNA". It matches the Rfam family "Bacterial small subunit ribosomal RNA", at positions 524 to 776 of the family's 1533-position model. The record is from RNAcentral.
UACGUAGGGUGCAAGCGUUAAUCGGAAUUACUGGGCGUAAAGCGUGCGCAGGCGGCUUUGCAAGACAGAUGUGAAAUCCCCGGGCUUAACCUGGGAACUGCAUUUGUGACUGCAUGGCUGGAGUGCGGCAGAGGGGGAUGGAAUUCCGCGUGUAGCAGUGAAAUGCGUAGAUAUCGGGAGGAACACCUGAGGCGAAGGCGGGCUACUGGGCCGAUACUGACGCUGAUGCGCGAAAGCCAGGGGAGCAAACGGG